GUGUUCCACGCUGUCGGUUCGCCGCCCGUCGGUGUUAACUGGCAUGUCCUGUGGAACGUCCUGCCGGUGGCGGUCCGGGCUCUCGGCUUGCGUAAAGGCUCCGGCCCGAAGCAGGUCGAAUAGUUCCGGCCGCCGGUCCAAUCCCGCCACGGUGCUCUUCACCGAGUGUCGAGGUGGGCCGGCACGUUUACUUUGAACAAAUUAGAGUGCUUAAAGCAGGCUGGUGUCCGCCUGAAUACUGUGUGCAUGGAAUAAUAGAAUAGGACCUCGGUUCUAUUUUGUUGGUUUUCGGAACCCGAGGUAAUGAUUAAUAGGGACAGGCGGGGGCAUUCGUAUUGCGACGUUAGAGGUGAAAUUCUUGGAUCGUCGCAAGACGAACCUAAGCGAAAGCAUUUGCCAAGUAUGUUCUCGUUAAUCAAGAACGAAAGUUAGAGGUUCGAAGGCGAUCAGAUACCGCCCUAGUUCUAACCAUAAACGAUGCCAGCCAGCGAUCCGCCGAAGUUCCUCCGAUGACUCGGCGGGCAGCUUCCGGGAAACCAAAGCUUUUGGGUUCCGGGGGAAGUAUGGUUGCAAAGCUGAAACUUAAAGGAAUUGACGGAAGGGCACCACCAGGAGUGGAGCCUGCGGCUUAAUUUGACUCAACACGGGAAACCUCACCAGGCCCGGACACCGGAAGGAUUGACAGAUUGAGAGCUCUUUCUUGAUUCGGUGGGUGGUGGUGCAUGGCCGUUCUUAGUUGGUGGAGCGAUUUGUCUGGUUAAUUCCGAUAACGAACGAGACUCUAGCCUGCUAACUAGGCGAUUUCCGGUACCCACAAUAGUGUUACCGGCGAUUCAAUUUCUUCUUAGAGGGACAGGCGGCUCCUAGCCGCACGAGACUGAGCAAUAACAGGUCUGUGAUGCCCUUAGAUGUCCUGGGCCGCACGCGCGCUACACUGAAGGAAUCAGCGUGUCUUCCCUGGCCGACAGGCCCGGGUAACCCGUUGAACCUCCUUCGUGCUAGGGAUUGGGGCUUGCAAUUGUUCCCCAUGAACGAGGAAUUCCCAGUAAGCGCGAGUCAUAAGCUCGCGUUGAUUACGUCCCUGCCCUUUGUACACACCGCCCGUCGCUACUACCGAUUGAAUGAUUUAGUGAGGUCUUCGGACUGGUGCGCGGCGGUCGGCCUUGCCGGCCGCCGAUGUUGCCGGAAAGAUGACCAAACUUGAUCAUUUAGAGGAAGUAAAAGU
This 1225-nucleotide ribosomal RNA is filed under the name Clovia sp. 1 JRC-2010. Its description in RNAcentral is "SSU rRNA". It matches the Rfam family "Eukaryotic small subunit ribosomal RNA", at positions 689 to 1789 of the family's 1831-position model. Lineage: Eukaryota; Metazoa; Arthropoda; Insecta; Hemiptera; Aphrophoridae. The record is from RNAcentral.